UCAAGUGUUGUUCAGAGUUGGGUUUGAUUGUUCAUGGAAAUAUUUAUCAGCAAGAAAACAGUAUAUGUGAAAUUAUUCCUUUAAGAUUUUUUUCCCCUGAAGACUUCAUUUGCAUGAAUAUUUUUCUAAGAAUAAUGCUUCAGUGAAAGAAAUACAUUUGACAUGUGUGUUAGCCGUUCUGUGAGGCCUAAGAGCAAUAAUGAUGCGUGAACCCUAAAAAUGCAAAGGAAUUAACAAUGUAGAUUGUGCUGCUUCUAGACCUUGAGACCAGUAUGAGACGCUGUGAUAAUAUGUGAAAUAUUAAAAGUUAGAAAACCUGUCUUUAAAGAGUCAGCAUUCUGGUUGAAGAAAACAAAUACAGAGUUGGAGAUAAAAAUAACAGUGAAAGCAAUAAUAGUAAUAAUAGCUAAAAACUAUUGAUUACUUCCCACCAUAUGCAAAAGACUAUUCCAAGACCUUGACUUGAAAUCAUUUAAUCCUGUCAAUACACAUCAGAGGUGGACACUUAUUAUUCCCAUUCCACAGACACAGAAACGAAGCCCAGGCUCACACAACAGAAAGUGGCAGAGCUAUAAUUUGAAUGUGGACAACUAGGCUAUAAGUCCUGAGUUCCUGUCCAUUAUAGCAGCACUUAGAAAAUGAUGCACAAAGAAACUGUACUGGAAGCUCCUCGAAGGUAGGGGCCAUGAAAAUAUAGCCUUUUUGCCUCUGCAAAUUAUAUAUCACUGUGCGAAGAACAUAGUAAGUACAUAGUUGUUUAAAGAUUCGUUCAUGGAACCAAGCCUCAUGGAGCACAGUUUAAAUUUUCCAGGUAUCUCCAGCUAUUGGGUCUAUGCAAUUCCCCUCCUAGUAUAAGAAGGAAGAGGACCGAAUGUGUUGAAAUACAGGUUUUAUAAACUCCUCCCUUGCUCUUCAUGUAACUUUUACCUACAUUUCUAUGUUCUUUGGUGAGGCUCCAACAAAAGCUGAGAAUCAUCCACUACAGCUGCAGGAUAAAAAUGGCCAGGUAACAUCAGGAAAGACGCGGGUGCCCCUCUUCUUAGCAUCCUUCCUUCAACAUUCACUUCCCUAUUUUUUCAGCAAAGAUGCUAUUUUGGCAGUAUAUUUCUACAAAGAACGUGUGAACAUAUGUAUUCAAGUAUAAUUUAAUAAUCAGUGGGACUUUCAAACCCUGUUCCUUAGAUUGAUCAGUUAUUAUCUUAGCCAAGCAUCAUUUGAUAGCAGGUAGAUAACCCCCAAAGGGGAGUUCCUUUCAAAGAUGCAGAAACAGUCCAUGGAGGCUAAAGGCAGUAAGCGUAGCUGGAUCUCAAAAAGAGAGGAAUGAAAACCCAGGGUCUUGAGAUCUCCUCAAUUCUUGUUUGUUUGGUUUCAUUCUUCAGUCUCUCUGCAGAAAGAUGCUUCUAUAGCUCAAGUGUCAGAAAGUAGCCAGCCACCCAGAUACACCUCACUGUCCAUUCUGCAUUAGGCAGUAACCACAGUCCUGGCUUUAAAAGUUCGUGGAUGACAGGACUUUAUCAGCGAUCAUAUCCCGGAUUUUGCCUGGGGGCCGACCCACCAGGGCUAAGGGGGAGGGUCACCCUAGGAGACAAUUAUCUCCUCACGCCACACCAAUCCAAUCCCAAUAUCUCGGGAGUAGGAUUCAGAAUCACCUUUCUAGCUUCUUGAGUGAUUCCAACGUGCAGCCAGGUGUGACAAACACAGGCUGAGGCCAAGUGAGGUACUCAGAACAGAGGAAUCAACAUUGCCUGGUAGCUUCUUAGAAAUGCAGAAUGCCCCAGAACUACUGGAUCAGAAUCUUAACAAAAUCCCCAGGUGAUUUUUAUGCACAGGGAAAGCUGAGAAGCACUGCAGUAAACACAUAUCAGAGCUGGUGGGGAGUGACUGUCAUAACUCGAGUUAUAUUUUCACCAAAACUAAAGGUGAAUUCUUAUGUCCUUCAGUAUUUCUGAGAUGUGUAGAGUUUCUGUGAAAGGACAAACCAGAACAUCAAGGAGGGAUGUGUGGAUAAACAUCAUAAAGACCAAAGUCAGAAGAAGUCUCUGCAAAGGGGAAACGAGGAUACCUGAGUCAGCACCUAACAUUGAACGCAGCCACGCCAACCCUGGCGUUUAUCACUAAGGGGGGCCCUAGCUCACCAUUCUCAUUAGGUUUUACUUUAACUCAGAAGCCCCUUCACCUUGACUCAGGCAUAGCAAUUGUGUCCUGCUCUUGAAGUACAGGUGUUUCAGGAAAAGGAGCUGAUGUAGAGACCUCGUGUUGGGGCUUCGGCCUCAUCUUAACGGUGCGUGUAUGAGAGUCACAGCGGCGGAAGCGGACUGCGCAUGUCACAGCAUAAGAGCGGGUGGCGGUAUCCCAGCACACUGCUGGCUCAGGAGCACGGUUAUGGCUGGGGCAGCUAACUGAACGGUAUUAGAGAGGAAGACUUCCUAGACAAAGUAUUAGCGUAACUAAAAAAGAAAGAGGGUUAGCAAGCCAGCCGGUUGUGGUUUAAUAAACUAUUCCCAUCAAAAACGCCCUAUGGAGAUCACCUCUGUGCUUUGUGACCAUGAGAGGGGAGGGAGGGAGACGCAAGAGGGAAGAGAUAUGGGAACAUAUGUAUAUGUAUAACUGAUUCACUUUGUUGUAAAGGAGAAACUAACACACUAUUGUAAAACAGUUAUACUCCAAUAAAGAUGUUAAAAAAAAAAAACGCCCUAUGAUACAGCUAUCAUGCUUAUGCUUUGAAAGAAUUUGUAAGUUACAGGAAAGACUUCCAACAGAAGGAGAUAAGAAAAAGUCAGGAUAUAGAAAUUCUCAUAUAUGAUUUCUGUGGGGCUGGAGAAAAUGGAAGGAAGUGAGGACAAUUUAAAAUAUGGUGAUUAUAGUUAAUAAUAAUGCAUGCUUGAAAUGUGUUAAAGAGAGUAGAUCUUAAGUGUUCUCACCAUACACACAAAAAAGGUAACUCUGUGAGGUGAUGUAUACGUUAAUAUGCUUGAUUGUGGUAAUCAUUUCACAAUGUACACAUGUAUCAAACCAUCACGUCGUAUACCUUAAAUGUAUAUACAAUCGUUAUGUGUCACUUAUACCUCAGUAAAGCUGUGUGUUACCUACACAUUUAGAACCGUUGCAUUCCCCUGUGAAAUAACUCUUCUAUCAGCAUAAAAUGUUUUUCUUUAUCUAUACAAUCUAUAUUGAUAUAUGUUAGUCAAAUUUAACCAGUUUUGUUGAGAGUUUUAUUAUAUAUUUUUUCCAUAUCUUUACUUUCAAUCUCUCUGUAUUUUUAUCUUUAAGUUGUUUUUCUUUGAACGUUAUACAGUUGCACAUUUUAUCCAAUUUGGUAUUACCUGUCAAGUGUAAUAUUUGACUACUUAUGUAUGUCUUACUGGAUUUAAUGGGCUUUAUUGAUAUGUUUGGGUUUAUGUCUACCAUAAAACUAUUGAUAGCCUAUUUGUCUUAUCCAUUUUAUACUUAUUCUUCUCUGUUCCAUUGUCUUCUUUUGACAACAGAGAGUCUAGGUUGUUUUCUACAAUUUCUCCUUUGCAGGCUCUGAACUCUAAUUUCUCAGUCCGUAGCACCAUGAAAAAGGUAGAGGGGAAAAUAAAACUGUUUUACUUUUCA
Long non-coding RNA from Physeter macrocephalus (sperm whale), 3597 nucleotides. RefSeq lists it as uncharacterized. The transcript has 2 exons. The record is from RefSeq and is a predicted model, not a curated record. Lineage: Eukaryota; Metazoa; Chordata; Mammalia; Artiodactyla; Physeteridae.